Molecule: ribosomal RNA, 253 nt
Filed under: uncultured bacterium
Lineage: Bacteria
Description: partial 16S ribosomal RNA
Rfam family: Bacterial small subunit ribosomal RNA
Source: RNAcentral
UACGAGGGGUGCAAGCGUUGCUCGGAAUUAUUGGGCGUAAAGGGUAGGUAGGUGGUCUCAUUUGUCUGGGGUGAAAGCCUUGAGCUUAACUCAAGAAGUGCCUCGGAAACGGUGAGACUAGAGUCUUGGAGAGGGUUGCGGAAUUCCCGGUGUAGCGGUGAAAUGCGUAGAGAUCGGGAGGAACACCAGAGGCGAAGGCGGCAACCUGGACAAGUACUGACACUGAGGUGCGAAAGCGUGGGGAGCAAACAGG